UUUAAACCCUAAAUAUGAUUUAAAUUCUCAUAUUA
Molecule: transfer RNA, 35 nt
Filed under: Helobdella paranensis
Lineage: Eukaryota; Metazoa; Annelida; Clitellata; Rhynchobdellida; Glossiphoniidae
Description: partial tRNA-Leu
Source: RNAcentral